GGACUGUUUUGUGUCAAGUUUUGAUUGUUGUUGUUAUGGACAUUGUGGGGUAUUGUAUGCAUGUUGAAUAUGUGAAUUGAGGUGUUAAAGAAAUGAUUUAUGUUGAAGUAUACAAGCAGUCCAAAACCGUGGACUGUUUUGAUGUUAAGAGUGAAUUUGUACGUUUUGAAUGUUGAAUGUUGUUAUGAACAUAUAGUGAAAGUGAAGUGUGAUGAUUCAAGUUGAAAUUGAAAUGAUUUGUGGGCUGUUAUAAGAAUGAAAAUGAUGCUAAAACAGUUCCAAGAAUCGUAAAGAUAAUGUUGUUAAACGUGUUGUUGUCGUUGUAAGUUAAAAUUGGAAAAUUGCUAAGUGAGAAUGGAAAUGUUGUGUGUGUUGUUUGGCCGUGUAUAUGGGACAGUUUGAAUGAUGUAAGGACUGCCCAAAGUCCCCUAAGUCAUGUUUAAACAAGUUUGGAUUAAUAUAUGAAAGAACGAUUAGCAAUGUUAGCUUGUAGCGCUAGUCGGUUUGAAUGCGAACGAAACGUCGUUUAAAUGUUAGAAAGGGAUUGUGAGCGUCAAAAUACGUAUUGAAUUCCCUCGUAGACUAAUUGUAGCUCUUGAUAUCUUGAUAUAGGAUAAGUGUUUUUGGGCAGCAAGUACAAGUUAUAAUACGACUAAACGCUAAAGGUACAGACGCUCGUUUCGGAGAUCCGCCAGCUUAGGAUACUUAUUCAGCUAUUUUGGACUGCUCCUUUGUUCCGGAGCCUAGCUUGUGGUAUAACUCCCUUAUGUUGUAUUCAUAUGUGUUUAUUUGGGUACGGCGGGGCCCUGUCCCGUCAUAUGAUACUGUCAUUACUCUUAGAGGUCUGUGGACAUUUGUGUGAGUCUGUUUGUGGUUGUUGAUGCGUUUUAUGACUAUGACUUAUGUUUGGGGCGUACCCAUUCGUAAUGGCAUCCUUUUCGGCUUGCUUAUAUAUGUAUGUUUGGUAUGUUGCAUAUCGUGGCAGCCUUGUCGGCUUGCGUAG
Long non-coding RNA from Lycium ferocissimum, 1003 nucleotides. RefSeq lists it as uncharacterized. The transcript is spliced from 2 exons. Lineage: Eukaryota; Viridiplantae; Streptophyta; Magnoliopsida; Solanales; Solanaceae. The record is from RefSeq and is a predicted model, not a curated record.